CGUUUGUAAUCGUCUGGCAGUGGGCUGCCCAGGGUCAGGUGGAGUUUGCUGCGAAGAGUAGUGGAAUGGACCCGUGGCUAUCACUGGGGCGUGCCACGUGGAGUCUGCCGCGUGAAGUGGGGCGGCGUUUGUUGUCGUGAUUUGCCAGCGGAUGGGAGAAUCGCGCGGUAUCCGUUGCAGGAGGUGGAGCAGGAUCGCGGCCGUUUAUCGUGGCAUGUCAGGUAGUAAUGGAGCCACGUGGGAUCCGUCGUAGGGAGUGGAGCAGUGCUGCGAUCGUUACUGCGGCCUGUCAGGGAGUGGUGGAGCUGCGCGAAAUCCACCGCAGGAAGUGUAGCAGAAUCAUGGCCGUGAUUACGGCCUGGGAGUGCAGAUCUGCCGGCUGAAGUUCGGCCGUGGUCGGAGUCUGACCCCACGUAGGGGUCCGGGUAGAGUCCUCCUUGCGGUUGGGGUAGUGGGUGGAGCCCGGCUCCCGUGGGAGUCUGAGCGGAGUCUUCCUGCAGUCAAAGUUAAAGGCGAAGGUCGGCUCCCGUAGGAGUCCGGACAGCUUACCAGCAGUUGAGGUUGAGGACGGAGCCCGG
This 578-nucleotide long non-coding RNA is filed under the name Elaeis guineensis (African oil palm). RNAcentral's name for it is "long non-coding RNA (EGUI_LNC046883)". The record is from RNAcentral. Lineage: Eukaryota; Viridiplantae; Streptophyta; Magnoliopsida; Arecales; Arecaceae.